GUAUUAAAUUUUGACCAAUAAAGGUCUUCAUUAGACAUUCUAAUAGACUUGUGUGUGUAAAAAUAACAUAGACACAGACAGUAACAUCUGGCCUACAAUAAGUUCACAGGUGAGAUGAAAAGGCGGAGUGCACAUGCCCCAAAAGGCCAGCAACAUCCUAAGGAUUUCAAUAAUGAUCCUUCCGCAGGUUCACCUACGGAAA
Molecule: unclassified non-coding RNA, 202 nt
Filed under: uncultured fungus
Lineage: Eukaryota; Fungi
Description: sequence contains ITS1, 5.8S rRNA gene
Source: RNAcentral